RNAcentral lists this ribosomal RNA (301 nucleotides) under uncultured bacterium. RNAcentral's name for it is "partial 16S ribosomal RNA". It matches the Rfam family "Bacterial small subunit ribosomal RNA", at positions 509 to 809 of the family's 1533-position model. The record is from RNAcentral.
CAGCCGCCGCGGGAAUACGUAGGGUCCGAGCGUUGUCCGGAAUUAUUGGGCGUAAAGGGCUCGUAGGCGGUUUGUUGCGUCGGGAGUGAAAUCCUACAGCUUAACUGUGGGCUUGCUUUCGAUACGGGCAGACUGGAGGCAUUCAGGGGAGAACGGAAUUCCUGGUGUAGCGGUGAAAUGCGCAGAUAUCAGGAGGAACACCGGUGGCGAAGGCGGUUCUCUGGGAAUGUCCUGACGCUGAGGAGCGAAAGUGUGGGGAGCGAACAGGAUUAGAUACCCCCGUAGUCCCUGUCUCUUAUAA